Molecule: non-coding RNA, 72 nt
Organism: Salmo salar (Atlantic salmon)
Lineage: Eukaryota; Metazoa; Chordata; Actinopteri; Salmoniformes; Salmonidae
Source: Rfam
UCCCUUGUGGCUCAGUUGGUAGAGCAUGGUGUUUGCAACGCCAGGGUUGUGGGUUCGAUUGCCAUGGGGGAC